This 468-nucleotide ribosomal RNA is filed under the name uncultured bacterium. Its description in RNAcentral is "partial 16S ribosomal RNA". It matches the Rfam family "Bacterial small subunit ribosomal RNA", at positions 28 to 507 of the family's 1533-position model. The record is from RNAcentral.
GACGAACGCUGGCGGCGUGCUUAACACAUGCAAGUCGAACGGAAAGGCCCUGCUUUUGUGGGGUGCUCGAGUGGCGAACGGGUGAGUAACACGUGAGUAACCUGCCCUUGACUUUGGGAUAACUUCAGGAAACUGGGGCUAAUACCGGAUAGGAGCUCCUGCUGCAUGGUGGGGGUUGGAAAGUUUCGGCGGUUGGGGAUGGACUCGCGGCUUAUCAGCUUGUUGGUUGGGUAGUGGCUUACCAAGGCUUUGACGGGUAGCCGGCCUGAGAGGGUGAACGGCCACAUUGGGACUGAGAUACGGCCCAGACUCCUACGGGAGGCAGCAGUGGGGAAUAUUGCACAAUGGGCGGAAGCCUGAUGCAGCAACGCCGCGUGCGGGAUGACGGCCUUCGGGUUGUAAACCGCUUUCGCCUGUGACGAAGCGUGAGUGACGGUAAUGGGUAAAGAAGCACCGGCUAACUACGUG